GAGAAGACAGUAAGGCAAAGAGCAGUCAAAGAUAAGGUAGUUUCCUUUUCUAACAGUCUGGCUAAGUUGGAACUAAAUUUUUGUUUGUUUGUUUGUUUGUUUGUUUCUUGUAAAUCUGUUUUAGUUCUUUGUAGAUUCUGGAUAUUAGCCCUUUGUCAGAUGGGUAGAUUGCAAACAUUUUUUUCCCAUUCUGUUGGUUGUCAGUUCACUCUAACGAUUGUUUCUUUUGCUGUACAGAAGCUCUGGAGUUUAAUUAGAUCCAAUUUAUCUAUUUUGGCUUUGUUGCCAUUGCUUUUGGUGUUUCAGUCAUGAAGUCCUUUCCUUGUCUAUGCCUAUGCCCUGAGUGGUUUUGCCUAGGCUUUCUUCUGGGGUUUUUAUGGUGUUAGGACUUAUGUUUAAUGCUUUAAUCCAUCUGGAGUUAAUUUUAGUGUAAGGUGUCAGGAAGGGGUCCAGUUUCAGCUUUCUGCACAUGGCUAGGCCAGUUUUCCCAAAACCAUUUAGUAAACGGGGAAUCCUUUCCCCAUUACUUGUUUUUGUCAGGUUUGUCAAAGAUUAGAUGGUUGUAGAUGUGUGGUGUUGCCUCCGAGGGCUCUGUUCUGCUCCAUUGGUCUAGAUCUCUGCUUUGAUACUGGUACCAUGCUGUUUUGAUUACUUUAGCCUUGUAGUGUAGUUUGAAGUCAGGUAAUGUGAUGCCUCCAGCUUUGUAUUUUUUGCUUAGAAUUGACUUGGCUAUGCAGGCUUUCUUUUGGUUCCAUAUGAAGUUUAAGGUGGUUUUUUCCAGUUCUGUGAAGAAGGUCAUUGGUAGCUUAAUGGGGAUAGCAUUAAAUCUAUAAAUUACUUUGGGCAGUAUGGCCAUUUUUAUGAUGUUGAUUCUUCCUAACCAUGAGCAUGGAAUGUUUCUCCAUCUGUUUGUGUACUUUCUUAUUUCCUUGAGCAGUGGUUUGUAGUUCUCCUUAAAGAGGUCCGUCACAUCCUUUCUUAGUUGUAUUCCUAGGUAUUUUAUUCUCUUUGUAGCAAUUGUGAAUGGCAGUUCAUUCUUGUUUUGGCUCUCAU
This 1053-nucleotide long non-coding RNA is filed under the name Callithrix jacchus (white-tufted-ear marmoset). Its description in RNAcentral is "lncRNA (ENSCJAG00000085047.1)". The record is from RNAcentral. Lineage: Eukaryota; Metazoa; Chordata; Mammalia; Primates; Cebidae.